Molecule: RNA transcript, 2165 nt
Organism: Populus trichocarpa (black cottonwood)
Lineage: Eukaryota; Viridiplantae; Streptophyta; Magnoliopsida; Malpighiales; Salicaceae
Gene name: protein ELF4-LIKE 1
Exons: 3
Source: RefSeq, a predicted model, not a curated record
AUCACCACUCCUUUGACCGAUCAAUCAAAACUCACCAAAUAGCACGAGCCAAUAGAUUCCAAACACCCGAUUGGGCUGUCAACUUCUCCAAUCACAGCCAACGACCACAGACCGCCAAGUCAAGUCGGCUAGUCUUCGACCCGGCCUGUUUCUCUCCUACCACAAGAUAUAAAAACAAAACAACCAUCCGACUUGCGAGUUUGAUUUUCACCAUUUCUGCUAAAAAAAAGGAACCUCAGUGGCAAAAUCGAGAGGGAUAGAGAGGCUAAACUCACAUAAAUGCAUGACAAAGCUUGAAUAAUCAUCACUGGUGGAGGAGGAACAAGUGCCUACCAUGGACAACACCACCGGCAUCGCCAUAGCUUCACCAAAACCAAACAAAAAGCGAGUUAAAGAUGGCGGAGGAGAUGCAAAGAACGGCGAAGAGGAAGAGGAGUGUGACGUUGAGGCGUGGGAUACACUGAGCAAGAGUUUCAAGCAGGUGCAGAGCGUACUGGAUCACAACCGUGACUUGAUUCAACAAGUGAACGCCAAUCACCAGUCGAAGAUUCCAGAUAAUCUUGUUAAAAACGUUUCAUUAAUUCGCGAGAUUAAUGGAAAUAUAUCCAAGGUAAUGUCGAUUUACUCCGAUUUAUCAGUCAAUUUCUCCAAUAUUGUUCAGGAACGGCGUCGUGUCAAGAAUGGAGGAGAAAGCAAUUUGGAGAACAAUAGCAACGAGUCUUGAAAUCAAUCAGUUAAAGACGAUGAAUUGAAGGCUGGUUUUACUGCAUUGUAUCCCCGAACCCCGCAGACGUAAUAAGUGUCAUUGUAGCAGUAGAAUCUGGAAAACAGAGAGGAAGUGACAUGUUGCGGCAUAUUUUACCACCAUGUCACAAUUCUGCAACCUCCCUGCUCUUUAGAAUGGUCAUGGAAAGUGGUUGCUGCAGCUAUUUGUGUGAUUGUUUGAGCAUCUUAAACAGGCCCUCUGUUGGAACUUGGGUGACUGCAAAAGACUAUUCAGGCCUAAACUUGGUAGGAUCGAGGUGACCUGACAAAUCUUUGACUCUGCUUUUGUUGGACAGUCGUUGCUGCAACCAGCACUGCUAGAUAUACUUUCUUUCCAUAUGAUGACUUUGUGGAUGAUAAUAUGGAUGUUGAACUUGGAUUAGGGGAACUAUCAAAUUUUUAACUAUGAUUUAGAUAUUCAUGCCAGUCUGUUGUAUUAGGCCUUCGCUUUUAGAUUCUCAAAACCUUUUAAGGAGGUAGAUUCUCAAAACCUUUUAGCCAUCUUGACUGAAAAAAAGUACAGAAUUUGUUGUGUGCAUGGUUGGACUUUUGGCAUGCCUUGGGAACUUGGAUUGUUCUCACAGUAUUGGCAGUCAUUGUUAGAGGCUAGGUUUAUGUUGUCUAACAUAUUUAAAAAACUGAUUCGUGUUAAGGCUAAUCAAUCCGCGGUUCCAAGUUUUGUGAGUGUAUAUUAUCUAGGUUAAUAGGCAGGAGCCCAGGGGGAAUCUGAAGACAUCCUUCAAUUAGGACAUGAUAAAACUAAGCCAUCAAGUAAUGUUUCUCAAGAAGUAUGGAAAAAUACGCAAAACACAAAUUCUGAUUCCCCAAAACCAUAUGCUUCGAUUUGUGAGAUUGCUGUCUUAUGGUACAAGUUCUUAACAAACCUACUUUCCCUCUAUCUAACAAAUUCUCUGGCCAUAGGAUAGCUAUGUUAGUACUCCAAAGAAUGUCAUUUUCCUUGUUGACAUGUGGUGAGUUGUAUAUGUUAUUUAUGCAUUUCGAAUUCUGGAAAUGGUUGAUCUGUGGCAAUAAAUUCUAGAUGAAAUUUACCGUGGAAAGGGAAAUGUAUUUGUUGUUUUUUCUGUUGUUGGUGAAAUAGACAUGGUUGGAGGAGCAAGAGGAAGGAAAUGUGAAUUGUUGACAUGAUACAGGUUAUCAACAACUGGUUCUUCAGGCAGAUAGAGAUGACGUUUUCAAGGUAGCACAUGAUGAAGAUUGAGGGCAUUGAGGGUUGAGGUUAAAGGGCCAUAGUUCUCAUAUUUCUUUCAUUAAAAAAGGAGGAGGUUAAUUAUUUGUUCAUCUAGGUUGUGACAGAGAUGAAAAAAAUGAUACUGCGGAAACGAUGAACUUUUUGCUGGUCACACCGCAGGCUAAUAUAAUUCCCUCUUUGUUUUCUCUCA